ACCAAACCAACUCAGCAUUCACCAUGUCUGACAACAUCUCUCUGGCCUCGUAGGGACGGUAGGCAAUUGUGGUGGGAAAGGGAACCCAGUCAGGAGCCUUGGUGAAGUCCUCCACUGACGUCCGGGUCUUCCUGCCCGGAUUGCCGCAGAAGAAGCAGAGUGUGGCGGCAUUGAAGAGGCAGAGGUAGGUGCUGGGAAUGCCGUAGGUAUCUGCGGCGGGUGGAGCAAAACCAGUUGCUGAAUAGUCAUAGAUAAGCCAGUCAGGGUGGGUGUCGGCUAGGAAGGAGGAGAGCUGUGGUUGGAAGGAGUUGUAGAUAAUGUUGAGCUGGCGACGGAGGUCGUCGGUGGGGAGGUCGGAGGUGUUCUCGAUG
RNAcentral lists this unclassified non-coding RNA (371 nucleotides) under Hevea brasiliensis (rubber tree). The record is from RNAcentral. Lineage: Eukaryota; Viridiplantae; Streptophyta; Magnoliopsida; Malpighiales; Euphorbiaceae.